UGAGCAAUCUGCCCUUCACAUCGGAAUAACCAUUGGAAACGAUGGCUAAUACCGAAUAUGACUUCGGAUCGCAUGAUCUGAAGUGGAAAGCUCCGGCGGUGAAGGAUGAGCUCGCGGCCUAUCAGCUUGUUGGUGAGGUAAUAGCUCACCAAGGCGAUGGACGGGUAGCCCGGCCUGAGAGGGUGACCGGCCACACGUGGGACUGAGACACCGGCA
Molecule: ribosomal RNA, 216 nt
Filed under: uncultured bacterium
Lineage: Bacteria
Description: partial 16S ribosomal RNA
Rfam family: Bacterial small subunit ribosomal RNA
Source: RNAcentral